AGAGACUGAGACUAGAACUCUGAUUUUGGAGUCUUACAAUCAAUAAUUAAACAAUGCAAUAAAACACAAAGCAACAAUCAAACAGCCGGCCAGUCGAGCAGAAAAGGUUUAUACUUUUGAAUGCAGGAGAAAAGCAGAGAAUUUGAAAAAUAUUGUACAUUUUUUAGAUUUUUUUUCAUUUGCUGUUUUUUGAAAGUUAUAUUGGUCAUGAUGGAGCUUAAACCAGAACCGUAUAAACAGACGGUAAUGUAAGACUUUGCCAUGGUCUUUUCACUUAAACACAGAAAAAUGCAUGUAUAGGUUGGAGUUCAUUACCAGCCUGCCCCCUCCCCUCCAAAAACAAGAGCCAAAACUUAAACCAAAUGCUCAGUUUGAUUAUCCAAUUGUUUGGCUUUAAGGUGCAGCUGGCACGUCUUUCUGUGGGCCAUGUGAAACCCAGCUGAACGCCAGACCCUAAGAGCCAGACACAGCUCCCAUGCUUUCCAACGCCGAGCUACAGUACAUAAAUCAUACACUGUCAUACGUGUGAACUCCUGUGUGGAAGCAUCAGAUGGAGAACAACAACUCUUUCUGCAGGAAAUACCUGCACUCCUUAAUGUUACAUUGAUAGCGAGGAAACAACUCUCACUGCCCAUAUAUCAGAAACAGCUUUUGAACAUUUCUGGUUUUCAUCUCUUUUUAAUAUAAAAUCACUUCUAUUUGAGACUCUCCAAAAGCCAGCGUUUUCUCUGAUGUCUCAGGUAAGGAGGGAUGUGAAAGAAAAUAUUUUGCCAACUUCACAGGUUGUGUGAUAUAUUAAAUACCUGCACUGUCAUUUAGAAUUUGGUAAUGGAAGGCUUUAAGGGGAAAACUGUAUUUUUUUUUUUUAUUCCUUAAGUAACAAACCUAUCAGCAAUGUCCAGUGAAGGUUAAAAUAAUACUGCAUCAUAGAUCUGUCCCAUGUAUACAGGCUUUAAGAAGUGAUCUCCAUACCCUGCUGAAGCAAUUAACUAUUAGCACGAUAGUCGGGCUGUGGAAAGUGGGGUGACAGCAACAUGUGGUUGGCUGGAAGGUAGCAGUUCUUUUUUUCCUUCAGUUGUAGAUGGCAGCCUUGUCAGACAUUCACCUGGCUCCACAGCUUGUAUUAUAUUUAUGGCCUAGAAGAGAGCGCAAAGACUCUGGAAACACUGGAGCUAAAUAGCUACCUUCUUAGCACCCUGCCCGGUGCAAAGCUUCUCUGGCACCUCAUUAGGAAAACACUGCAGGGGAUUCAGGGAACAGGGACUGGGGUCAGGAGAAAGCAUUAAACCUUUGCAUGUAACUUUUCAUGUGACCGGGCUGGCGGUCCAGUGACUGUGGGCUCCAUUGGCAGGCAGUGGCUUGUGGAGACCUGGGAAUUAUUAUAUGGGAUUGGAAGAGAAUGCCAGCAAUGCACGCGGGGCUCGGGGGGAGGAUGAAAGGCAAACGCCACUCGAUGAAUGAAUUCAGAAAUAUGUGUGUAAUUUGUGAAUGGCUUUUUUUCCCUUCACUGAACCUGCACAUGAGUUUCUACAGCCACCAAUGAAAGCCUCAUGAUACUGUCACACAGUUGAGAAGAUCCGUUCUGAACCCCUCGGCUCUUCCAGUCCACCCACUGCUCCCCAGCGUCUGCCACUGCAUGGGCACAGGCCACACAGCCAUUCUGGGCGAACGAUGCUACCAGCAACAAAGAGAGUACUGGUUCAGCGUGGUGUGCCUGAAGGUCCUUCCCAAGGCACCAGAGAACCUCCUGAAUGCAGCCGCCCUUGGGAGCUCUUCUGGGAGUGGCAGCUCCCACUGGUGCUUGCAAUGCUGUGACGUUGUGGCACACCCAGGGCUGAGUGCACAGGGGAAAGUUGAGGCAAUCUGGACCAGGCAGCGCCAGAGCAGCCCAUCGGGGCCAGAGCUCAGGCAGUGCCACCUCCAUCAUUAACAUCGUGGUCGGGGCUCCACCUGCCUGGUGGGCAGCUCCCUGAGGUGGCUGCUGCAGUCAGACAGGGUGCGUGGGCAUGUGCUUCGAAAGCACAAACAGGAGGAGUAACUUGCUGCCUCCCCACAGUAUGUAAUUUUGGAAAGGUGGGAGCAGCGCAUUUGCCAAACAGAAACUGUCCCUGCAGCUCCUCACUUGGCAUGAUAGAACCAAUUUUUAUUAUCCUUUGGGGCUACGGCUGCAAACAAAAGAUGCUUUCAUUUCGCUUUGGCGGCAGCUCAGGUUGUGUGUGCUCUGUCCGCUUCCUUAAUUACAGUGGUUGUUGACAACUUCUGAGAGAGACCCUCUCUUUGAGCAGUCCUCCCAUUCCCCCACUCUUUUUUGCAGUUUGAACACAUGACAAACCAGAACGUCAUUCUGUAAAAAUAAGCUCACUGUAAUGCAGUGAUUCCCGCACUACAGUUACGCUGUGUUCCUCUCUUGUGUCCUCUCAGUUUGUGCUGCUGCUGUUAAUUUCCUCUUUCUGGCUAUAAGAACGUUUUAUUUAUUAGUGCUGGAUUUCCUGUUGCCUGCAGCUGCCUGUACUUUACCCUCUCCAGCUCAGUUUGCCGUUUGAGUCAGUCUGUAGGUUUGUUAUCCCACUGACUGAGAGGUACUCUCAGCAAGUUUGAUCAGUGGUUGUAUUAAGCAACACCUAACAGAGCAGGACUUGCACGGCAACCUGAGCAUACAAAACCCCCAAAGAAAACAAAAGAUGGUAUGGGGAGCUCUCACGGGCAUAGGAAGGGACCCUUUUUUAUGACCUGUUGAUGCAAAGAUUGUGCUUUCUCGGACUGCAGGAACUCCUUGGUUUGCUUGCAUGCACCACAGGGAGGAAGUCAGCUCGUUGAACUAUACACGGUCUGCAGGUCUGAUGGACGAGGACUCAGAGGUUUGCGACUAUUUAUAUUUGAGAUUGUGGGCCGUAUCACGCUGAAACAUCGUGCAGACUUUCCACAUGUGAGAUUCGUGAAUGACUUCCUUAACCUUUUGUGGACAUUCAGCAUCAUUGUAGUAAACGCAAAGGUUGCUUAUACGGAAAGUGAGAUAAUGAAGGGGAAAUAUGUUUUGCUGCUUUGAACAUGAUUUGUCUGCUGCAAGGAAGGAGGAGGUAUGAGCUCUUAAUGCUCUGUGUAUUAUUGGCAAGGCUAGUCGGAAAAGCUCACUCAUCUGCACUGGAGAGAAACACUUCAUCUAAUUCUCUAUUGUCUGAUUGGUACUAUUUCAAGUGGUAGAGAAUGAGGCUGAAGCAGCACCUAAUGGUAAUAUUCCCUCUCUUGUGUUUUACAGGGGUAGCACUAAUUUUAUCAUCAUUUCUUUCUACUUGAUAGGGAUUUGGGGCCUGAAAACUGAGCAAUGGGAGUUAGGGGUGAAGCAAACCCCAGGGCACGGAGGCAGCUGUGGCAUGUCUUACUGUGAUGGAGCUGCAACCCUGUCAGGAUGUGAUCCUUUCCACUGCUGUUUGCAGCGGGCUGUUGCUGGCGGAGAAGCACUGCAGGUGCAGCACCAUUAGACACUUUUUCCUUUGUGUCAGAUGUUUGAGAGCUGUCCAGAAACAUUAAAUAGGGAAGAAUCUUCUGACUUCUUCCAGGGAAAGGUGCUUCAGAAGAAGUGGUACCAAAGGACCAGCACUGGAGCCUCGUCACGGAAGGUAACAGUGUGCAGAGGCCAAAGGCACCAGUGCAGGGACAAAGGACAGACAGGAGGCAACUGCUGCACCGUGACCCGAUUUUUAUCCCAGUGUCUCUCAUCUACAAGGGCUGGAAUAGCUGGUGCACACUGAUCUGGUUUUGGGGGCUCACUGAUGUAAGUUCUGUUUGCACAGUGGAAAAGGUCUAAGUCUCGCUUACGCCAGCCACUGUCAAUACAUUUCCACCUUUUGCAUGUCUCAUUAUUGAUCAGUAUGGACAACAGGAAAAGAACUCAAAAACUUUAAAUCCAUAAAUUUGUUUCCUCUCCCUGACUUCAUGCACAUUGCUUUUUGCUCAGCCCUCUUGGGAACAAGUCUCUUCAAUUGCCCAUUAAUCCCCCUGGUAAAAACCUGACUCACACCACUGGAGAGGAACUGGCUGAUGGAUUAUCCCUCUCAUCUGAAGAUGGGAAAGAGAUGGCUGCAGUUGUAGUUAUAGGAUUCUGAUAAUAAGAAGCGGUAAGAAAUGCAGGUCACAUAGAGAAGGAUAAUGAAAUCACAUAUAUUCAGUACAGGACUAACCUAUUGGCUCAUUGUCCAAUUAUCUUGUCAGCCAAGUUCUCUCUUUGAUUAUAGCAUUUUUACUACAGUCCUGCCUGAAUAUUAUAUGGAAGCAAAUACAAAAAUGUUUGAGGUUGCUCGGGAUAGUACACCAACUCCACUGGCAGCAGUGGAGUCAGAACAUGCCCAAGGUGUACAGAGCAGUAACUUGCUCUGCCCUCUCCCCACCUCUCUCUCCUCCCCUGGAACUUUUCCUCAUGUUAAUCCCAUGGGAGAGCAGCUCUGAGUAGUCUCUCUGUUCCAAGGGGAAAAAACAAGGUUAUCUCAAGGUGUGAUGCUAGCAUGUUUUCACACUACCCCAGAAGGGGAAGUACAGCAAGCCUUGCAAAGGGAGGGAAUGUGUGUUGUCUGUGUUGUGAAGUGGAAAGCUGGCAUUCAGUGACCUGAGUCCUCUUGCAAUGCUGCCCAUGUGACUUCAUGCAAGGCACAACUUCUUUAGUCUCAUUAGCCCUGUCUUUAAACUGUAUUUAGUACUUGCUUCACAGGGCUGAGAAGAAGAGGAUUAAGCUUUAAUUCAUUAAUGUUUGUAAAACGUUUUAGAACUUGGAUGGAAAUUUCUCAGGUAGUGCAGAGAGCAUUAAAAAGCUUAUCUCCCUCUCAAACUGCAAACAGUCUGGUAAUACGAGAGAAAUGAGUGAAACAGUGCUUGCAUUUUGGUGUUUAUAAUAAUAAAAUAACCUACCCUCCAGCUUCCUCUCUCUAUCCUUACAUGUUUUGUAAAAAUAGAGGCAGCAAUGAGAAAUUUUAGUCUAAACAGAGUGCAGUUGCUCCCAGGAGACUUGAAUAAAUCUCAGUGGAAUUUUCCCUGCCUUCAGCCUUUUGUGCUUCUGAAAGGUCCUGGAACCAGCCAUGUGACUGUAAGAGCAAAAAACACUUCUGUGUCUGAGUGCUUUACCAAAUAUUUACAAGAUACCCUGAUAAAAUGGCUACAAGCAAGUUCAGUGGGGUUUGACUGAACGGCCACUAACGCAGCAUUGUCAAGGAAAAAACUAAUCCUCAGCUAAAACAAAAUUAAAAUUAAUUUUACAAAGGUCUCUUCAAAGCACAAAACUGGUAAUAUCGAUGCUGGGGAACUGGUGAACCCCAAGGUGAAAUGUAGUAGCUUUUAGAAGUAGCUUACUGAAAUGGAGUAGCUUCCUUGCUGUGAUGGAAACUUUCUUGCUGAAGUUGAGAGCCCAGAGCUUCGUGAGCAGGCAUGUAAGUAGAUAUCUGCAGAGUAGCCUUCUCCAUGCCAUCCUGUUUGGUGACUGGGAGUGACACAACAUCAGCUUCCACAUCCUAUCAGCUCCUCAAUCUCUUGCACUGCCACAGUAAGGGUGUGCAGUAGUUUUUAACAGUGUCCACGUUCUCCCUAGGAACUCUCUUGUCACUCAAAAACUGUCAGGCAAACAGCUGAUGGCGACCUGCUUGCCCCACUACCACAGGUGGCCUCACUGCGGCUGAUUUCCUUGCUGGGUCAUCUGCAGCCACUUAGGCAGUACUCCAGACCUCC
RNA transcript from Cuculus canorus (common cuckoo), 5709 nucleotides. RefSeq lists it as uncharacterized. NCBI's taxonomy places the organism in Eukaryota, Metazoa, Chordata, Aves, Cuculiformes, Cuculidae. The record is from RefSeq and is a predicted model, not a curated record. The transcript is spliced from 2 exons.